RNAcentral lists this long non-coding RNA (1890 nucleotides) under Equus asinus (donkey). RNAcentral describes it as "lncRNA (ENSEASG00005028153.1)". Lineage: Eukaryota; Metazoa; Chordata; Mammalia; Perissodactyla; Equidae. The record is from RNAcentral.
GUUCCAAGGGGCCGGAACUUACACAAGGCAGUGCUGUUUCAGGAGGCUGCUUCACUCCUCAGGGCUGCAAAGCCAUCACGCUUUUGUUGACUGUGUGGCUCACACCUGGGUCCGGAGCCGGCACCUUGCCCAGAGAUGCCAGGUGCUGUCUCUUAAUCAGAAAUAAUGAGCAAGGCAGCUGUGGCUUCUCAUCAGCCAAUCCCUCCAGCGUGUCAGAUGGGGGCCAAUUAGCAGAGGCACCAAGCAACAGAAUUCUGCCUUCGCAAGCAAAACAUCCAAAAGUGCUGAGCCCCUUCGCAGUGACACUGGACCCCAGCGUCUUACCUUUCCCCAGCUUUACAUUGGUCUUUUCUUGGUCCUGGGUGAGCCGGGGCUGGUUCCAGGAUUGGAACCUCCCGAAGCAGCAAGCCCUGACACCUGGAGUGGAGUUCAAGGACUUUUUUUUUCAAUCUAAGUUUCUUUGGCCACCACCACUCCCCACGGCCAACAGCCACAUUCUUUCUUGGACCACGUCAUUCAUUCUCAGUUGCUUGGCCUCGAAGGCCUGUGGGCGGCACAGACUCCAGCCUUUGAGACAUUAAAAAAAAAGGCUCCCCUUCUGGGGAGACCAUUUAGGACACAGCCCCUGCCAGGAAUGUUUCAGCUCCUGCGCACCCCGAGGCUUCGUGCCUUUGCACAAGGUUAUAAAAAUGGAACUAUUCAUUGGGACACUCAAAUGAUACAGGAAAAGGAUAAAGAAAGUGAAAAAUCACCUGCUGUCCCCCCACCCCGAGCUGUUACCUACCGUGUGGGCUAGCAUGCUUCAGACACACACAGCUGUGGGCAACCUUAUGUAAGUGGCGUCAUCCCACACGAGUGGGUGUAUCCUCUGCUGGCCCCUGCCCCCCGGCCCCCAGUGUAUGGAACACAAAAGUUGUUCUUGAAAAAGUUGUCUCUACACUCCCAGACUGCAUUCCUAGCCUUCACAACCACAGACAUCUGCUCCAGCCCCUACCUCUCAAUGGAAACCACUCUGUGGUCACCAAUGGCCUCCCUGUACCUAAGUCAGAAGUUGGAGGCCUUUCUUUUUUUUCUCUUUUUUUGAGGAAGAUUAGCCCUGAGCUAACAUCUGCUGCCAAUCCUCUUUUUGCUGAGGAAGACUGGCCCUGAGUUACCAUCCGUGCCCAUCUUCCUCUACUUUAUAUGUGGGACGCCUACCACAGCAUGGCUUGCUGAGCGGUGCCAUGUCCGCACCUGGGAUCUGAACUGGUGAACCCCGGACCUCUGAAGCAGAACGUGCAAACAACUGCUGCACCACGGGGCCAGCCCCUUGGGACCUUUCUUGAAGUCAGCUGUUCAACUGAAAAAAUGAGCCCAGAACUGGGAGGCCCUCCCAGGGGACCAGCUGGUUGGGCCUCUCAGAAGUGUCUGUCAGCACUGAGCACUGCCUUCUGGGACAUUCUCCUUGGUUCUCUGCCAUCAUGCUCACCCGAUGUUCCCCAGUCCUGCCUCUCUCCAGACACUUCUAUCUCUCACCUGUUCUUCGAGAGUCAGAGUUCCUCAGUCCUGGAUUUCUCUUUCUCAUCCUCUGUGGUCCUCUCAGAUGAAUUCAUUGCCUGUGACUCCUGAAUCCCUGUUUCUGGCCCAGAUCUCUCGAGAAUCUCACAUCUGGAUGUUCUUCCCGCUCUCCUACCUCACGCUCAACUUGUUGACGAACCCACCCCUUUUCUAGUGUUCUCCAUCUUGUGGAAGGGCACUCCCAUGCACCCAGGUUGUGUCCUGCUUCCUGCCUCUGUGAAACUUCUCUACUCCAGCCUUUACCCUGGCUCCCACACUGGUCCCCAACCUUGGCAGCCCCAGGAAGCCUUCCCCGGAGCUCCUCCAGCUCGCUGUGCUUAGAGUCCUCCCCUC